This 597-nucleotide long non-coding RNA is filed under the name Polistes fuscatus (common paper wasp). RNAcentral describes it as "uncharacterized LOC122525046". Lineage: Eukaryota; Metazoa; Arthropoda; Insecta; Hymenoptera; Vespidae. The record is from RNAcentral.
UGGAUUAAAUAAUUUAUUUAUCAUUUGUUACACCAUGAAAGGCCAGUAUAAAUUGUAAAGGAUUAUUAAAUUGGAUUCCAUAAGAAGUUGCAGAUUCCAGCAUCCUAAGCCGAGUGAAUAUUGAAGGCUAAUGGCCCCCUGUUACUACGUGGAAGAAGAGUAGAAAAAAGAGAAUAAAGAAAGAAAAAGAAGAAAAUACUUUCGUCUAUAGCUGUAGCAUCUUGAAGAAUUUUAUCUCCAAGUGGAAAGAAGAGUCCCAGCAGCACCUUUCAGAAGAAACAUAUGUCUACUGUUGUGUAUAUAUGUACUUUACAUUGUACAUACAUAUAUAUAUACUCUAUUUUAUGCGAGCAAGGGUAUACAUUGCACCUACGUGGAUAAAAAAAGAGAACACACGUGGCAACCUUUGUCUACCGUCAAAGCAUAUCGAUUGCAAGUUGUAUCCCAUGGAAGCCCUUUACAAUGCCGACAUCAACAACUACAUCACCUGAAAGCACAAAUUUUAAAUUUAAUUCAACGCAUUGUCUAAAAUAUCUGAUUGUUUGUUCAUUCUAUUUGAUAAACUAAUUUAAUAGUUUCGUAUGUGUACUCAUAAUG